Balaenoptera musculus (blue whale) is the source of this 104-nucleotide small nuclear RNA. The record is from Ensembl. Lineage: Eukaryota; Metazoa; Chordata; Mammalia; Artiodactyla; Balaenopteridae.
GUGCUUGCUUUGGCAGCACAUAUACUAAAAUUGGAAUGAUAUGGAGAUUAGCAUGGCCCCUCAGCAAGGAUGACAUGCAAAUUUGUGAAGCAUUUCACGUUUUU